RNAcentral lists this ribosomal RNA (1215 nucleotides) under Promicromonospora sp. RP26. RNAcentral describes it as "bacterial SSU rRNA". It matches the Rfam family "Bacterial small subunit ribosomal RNA", at positions 20 to 1246 of the family's 1533-position model. Lineage: Bacteria; Bacillati; Actinomycetota; Actinomycetes; Micrococcales; Promicromonosporaceae. The record is from RNAcentral.
UGGCUCAGGACGAACGCUGGUGGCGUGCUUAACACAUGCAAGUCGAAACGGUGAAGCUCAGCUUGCUGGGCGGAUCAGUGGCGAACGGGUGAGUAACACGUGAGCAACCUGCCCCCUACUUCGGGAUAAGCCUUGGAAACGGGGUCUAAUACCGGAUAUGAACACUUAUCGCAUGGUGGGUGUUGGAAAGUUUUUCGGUGGGGGAUGGGCUCGCGGCCUAUCAGCUUGUUGGUGGGGUAAUGGCCUACCAAGGCGUCGACGGGUAGCCGGCCUGAGAGGGCGACCGGCCACACUGGGACUGAGACACGGCCCAGACUCCUACGGGAGGCAGCAGUGGGGAAUAUUGCACAAUGGGCGAAAGCCUGAUGCAGCGACGCCACGUGAGGGAUGACGGCCUUCGGGUUGUAAACCUCUUUCAGCAGGGAAGAAGCGCAAGUGACGGUACCUGCAGAAGAAGCGCCGGCUAACUACGUGCCAGCAGCCGCGGUAAUACGUAGGGCGCAAGCGUUGUCCGGAAUUAUUGGGCGUAAAGAGCUCGUAGGCGGUCUGUCGCGUCUGGUGUGAAAUCCCAUGGCUCAACUGUGGGCUUGCAUCGGGUACGGGCAGACUAGAGUGCUGUAGGGGAGACUGGAAUUCCUGGUGUAGCGGUGGAAUGCGCAGAUAUCAGGAGGAACACCGAUGGCGAAGGCAGGUCUCUGGGCAGUUACUGACGCUGAGGAGCGAAAGCAUGGGGAGCGAACAGGAUUAGAUACCCUGGUAGUCCAUGCCGUAAACGUUGGGCACUAGGUGUGGGGCGGGUUCCACUCGUUCUGUGCCGUAGCUAACGCAUUAAGUGCCCCGCCUGGGGAGUACGGCCGCAAGGCUAAAACUCAAAGGAAUUGACGGGGGCCCGCACAAGCGGCGGAGCAUGCGGAUUAAUUCGAUGCAACGCGAAGAACCUUACCAAGGCUUGACAUGUACGAGAAAGCCCCAGAGAUGGGGUUCUCUUUGGACACUCGUACACAGGUGGUGCAUGGUUGUCGUCAGCUCGUGUCGUGAGAUGUUGGGUUAAGUCCCGCAACGAGCGCAACCCUUAUCCUAUGUUGCCAGCGGGUUAUGCCGGGGACUCAUGGGAGACUGCCGGGGUCAACUCGGAGGAAGGUGGGGAUGACGUCAAAUCAUCAUGCCCCUUAUGUCUUGGGCUUCACGCAUGCUACAAUGGGCCGGUACAGAGGG